UGCAGAUGAUAUGAAGUAAUAUGUGCUAUCCGAGCGCAGUAACAAUGUCGACACCACCAAGAUCACUGAUGCG
This is a small nucleolar RNA of Lepus europaeus (European hare), 73 nucleotides long. RefSeq annotates it as small nucleolar RNA SNORD24. The record is from RefSeq and is a predicted model, not a curated record. The transcript has a single exon. Lineage: Eukaryota; Metazoa; Chordata; Mammalia; Lagomorpha; Leporidae.